RNAcentral lists this transfer RNA (58 nucleotides) under Dipodomys ordii (Ord's kangaroo rat). It matches the Rfam family "tRNA", at positions 8 to 63 of the family's 71-position model. Rfam says of the family: Transfer RNA (tRNA) molecules are approximately 80 nucleotides in length. Their secondary structure includes four short double-helical elements and three loops (D, anti-codon, and T loops). Lineage: Eukaryota; Metazoa; Chordata; Mammalia; Rodentia; Heteromyidae. The record is from Rfam by way of RNAcentral.
UGGCUCAGUGGUAGAGCGCUUGCCUUACAUGCAUGAGGCCCUGAGUUCGAUUCCUCAG